UUCUUACGCAAUACCAUCAACAAUGGGGCUUUUGCGCGUUUUUUCUGGGUUUUAAUUCGGAACGCGGUAAUUUAAAGCGAAGGCUUACAGAGACGUUUUUCAGCUUCACGGUUUUCAAAGUCAGAAACCUUCCGAGAACGGUUCAUUAGAAAGCUUAAAAUAUAUCCAUUAGCGCGCCCCGACUUCGCUUUGCUUGCCAGAUGUGCGCCUGAGACAAUAGAACAAUGUUUUUCUCUUCGCUCAAACCUCUGAGCAACCCUCAUCUAUUCAGUUUUAUGCUGACAACAACCAUAUCUAUUUCUCAUAUCCACUUAAAAACAAGGAAAACUGACGGAACUUCUUGACUAUAAAUUGGAGUGGCACAUCAAUAAUUUAUUAUAAAUCCGAUAAUAAUUUAAUUUUUAUUUAGUAAAGCGUUCAAUUAUUUUCUUUUAGGAUUUUACCAUUUAAUGACCGAAUAAAUUAUUUUGCAAAUUAAAAAAAUGUUCUCUUAA
Long non-coding RNA from Anthonomus grandis grandis, 494 nucleotides. RefSeq lists it as uncharacterized. NCBI's taxonomy places the organism in Eukaryota, Metazoa, Arthropoda, Insecta, Coleoptera, Curculionidae. The record is from RefSeq and is a predicted model, not a curated record. The transcript is spliced from 2 exons.